RNAcentral lists this ribosomal RNA (536 nucleotides) under uncultured bacterium. RNAcentral describes it as "bacterial SSU rRNA". It matches the Rfam family "Bacterial small subunit ribosomal RNA", at positions 336 to 863 of the family's 1533-position model. The record is from RNAcentral.
CUCCUACGGGAGGCAGCAGUGGGGAAUAUUGGACAAUGGGCGCAAGCCUGAUCCAGCCAUGCCGCGUGAGUGAAGAAGGCCUUCGGGUUGUAAAGCUCUUUUGUCCGGAAAGAAAAGCAUUCGGUUAAUAACCGGGUGUCAUGACGGUACCGGAAGAAUAAGCACCGGCUAACUUCGUGCCAGCAGCCGCGGUAAUACGAAGGGUGCAAGCGUUACUCGGAAUUACUGGGCGUAAAGCGUGCGUAGGUGGUUCGUUAAGUCUGAUGUGAAAGCCCUGGGCUCAACCUGGGAAUGGCAUUGGAUACUGGUGGACUGGAGUGCGGUAGAGGAUGGCGGAAUUCCCGGUGUAGCAGUGAAAUGCGUAGAGAUCGGGAGGAACAUCCGUGGCGAAGGCGGCCAUCUGGACCAGCACUGACACUGAGGCACGAAAGCGUGGGGAGCAAACAGGAUUAGAUACCCUGGUAGUCCACGCCCUAAACGAUGCGAACUGGAUGUUGGGAGCAACUAGGCUCUCAGUAUCGAAGCUAACGCGUUAA